This 290-nucleotide ribosomal RNA is filed under the name uncultured bacterium. RNAcentral's name for it is "partial 16S ribosomal RNA". It matches the Rfam family "Bacterial small subunit ribosomal RNA", at positions 335 to 621 of the family's 1533-position model. The record is from RNAcentral.
UGUGCCUACGGGACGCAGCAGUGAGGAAUAUUGGUCAAUGGGCGCGAGCCUGAACCAGCCAAGUAGCGUGAAGGAUGACUGCCCUACGGGUUGUAAACUUCUUUUAUAAAGGACUAAAGUGAGGCACGUGUGCCUUUUUGUAUGUACUUUAUGAAUAAGGAUCGGCUAACUCCGUGCCAGCAGCCGCGGUAAUACGGAGGAUCCGAGCGUUAUCCGGAUUUAUUGGGUUUAAAGGGAGCGUAGAUGGGUUGUUAAGUCAGUUGUGAAAGUUUGCGGCUCAACGGUAAAUU